RNAcentral lists this ribosomal RNA (253 nucleotides) under uncultured bacterium. RNAcentral's name for it is "partial 16S ribosomal RNA". It matches the Rfam family "Bacterial small subunit ribosomal RNA", at positions 524 to 776 of the family's 1533-position model. The record is from RNAcentral.
UACGAACUGUGCAAACGUUAUUCGGAAUCACUGGGCUUAAAGGGUGCGUAGGCGGCUUGUUAAGUAGGGUGUGAAAGCCCCCGGCUCAACCGGGGAAUUGCGCCCUAAACUGGCGAGCUGGAGUGGGAUAGGGGUGUGUGGAACUUCCGGUGGAGCGGUGAAAUGUGUUGAUAUCGGAAGGAACGCCGGUGGCGAAAGCGACACACUGGGUCUCAACUGACGCUGAGGCACGAAAGCCAGGGGAGCAAACGGG